GUUCAAGGAUGAAAGACGGUUUCGGCUGUCACUUACAGAUGGACCCGCGGCGCAUUAGCUAGUUGGUGGGGUAAUGGCUCACCAAGGCGACGAUGCGUAGCCGACCUGAGAGGGUGAUCGGCCACACUGGGACUGAGACACGGCCCAGACUCCUACGGGAGGCAGCAGUAGGGAAUCUUCCGCAAUGGACGAAAGUCUGACGGAGCAACGCCGCGUGAGUGAUGAAGGUUUUCGGAUCGUAAAGCUCUGUUGUUAGGGAAGAACAAGUGCGAGAGUAACUGCUCGCACCUUGACGGUACCUAACCAGAAAGCCACGGCUAACUACGUGCCAGCAGCCGCGGUAAUACGUAGGUGGCAAGCGUUGUCCGGAAUUAUUGGGCGUAAAGGGCUCGCAGGCGGUUUCUU
RNAcentral lists this ribosomal RNA (405 nucleotides) under Bacillus safensis. RNAcentral describes it as "bacterial SSU rRNA". It matches the Rfam family "Bacterial small subunit ribosomal RNA", at positions 192 to 584 of the family's 1533-position model. The record is from RNAcentral. Lineage: Bacteria; Bacillati; Bacillota; Bacilli; Caryophanales; Bacillaceae.